UACGGAGGGUGCAAGCGUUAAUCGGAAUUACUGGGCGUAAAGCGCGCGUAGGCGGCUUUGUAAGUCGGAUGUGAAAGCCCUGGGCUUAACCUGGGAAUUGCAUUCGAUACUGCUUAGCUAGAGUAUGGUAGAGGGAAGUGGAAUUUCCGGUGUAGUGGUGAAAUGCGUAGAUAUCGGGAGGAACACCAGUGGCGAAGGCGACUACCUGGCCUGUUUCUUGACGCUGAGGCGCGAAAGCUAGGGGAGCAAACGGG
This 254-nucleotide ribosomal RNA is filed under the name uncultured bacterium. RNAcentral's name for it is "partial 16S ribosomal RNA". It matches the Rfam family "Bacterial small subunit ribosomal RNA", at positions 524 to 776 of the family's 1533-position model. The record is from RNAcentral.